CGUCACCGCGAGCGCGAGAAGUCGAAGUGAGGAGCAGAAAGCGUUGUUAGUGUUAGUUCUGGCCCGUUUGGACCCAGACUAAAGUGUAUCAGUAUGAAGCAGGCGGAGACGGCGCACUGAUUCACUCUCAGAGCUCGGUUCACUAAUGACCGAAUCACCGAGGAACCGACCAAAGAUAACUCACACCCGCACAGAGAAGAAGAUGAGCUGGAGUGGGGCAAAGAGAACUGCAUUCAGAUCAAACGGAUACAAGAGAGGUGGCCGAGUUGUUUGAGGAUCUGAAGAAUCGAGUGUCACAAUUCAACAUGCACAUCAGCGAAACUUCCUCUGACUACACCAGCGCGCGCACACACACAAAUUCAUAGUGCAGUUUAUUUUGGAUACAGGCAGAGGAAGCUCAGCGAAAGCUUAAGAGACAGAAUGGAGAGGACCCAGCCCUGCCUCCAUUCUGCCCACUGUUUGCCAGCUUGGGAAACAUUCUGCAGUGUGACGUGCUGCUUGGCAUGCUGGGAGCUGUGCUGCAGUGGGCUAUGGUGCCCAGUGGAGGACACUGGUCUGAGUCCAUGCUGCAGAGGGUAAAUGUUUGGAUGUUUUGUUAAAAUGACAUGAUAGUGUAGUAAAUUCAACAAAAUUCCACUUGCUAUGCUGUGUUCAUGAGCAUCACUUUUUAAUGACUGAGUAGUGUUCACAAUUCUGUAUGUGUGUGUUGCUACAGGUGCUGCACUUGAUAGGCAUGGCUCUGCUGGAGGAGCAGCAACAGCUAGAGAACAUUGGGGAUGACGAUGAAGUUACUUUCAACUUCACCCUCAAAAUCUCCCGUCCCGGGGAAGCCCCCGGCAACACUCCAAGCAUCCUGGCUCUGUUAGAGGCCUUGCAGCGCGCGCUUCACUUGGAAGUGCAUAAAGACAUGAUUCGCUGGAUCCUUAAAGUGAAAUUACAUCUUGAUUAUGUUUGCAAUUUGCCUUACUAUGCGUGCACCUAAUAUAUCCACCAGGUGGCAGCCUAGCAUGUUUUGCAAUUCGCUCACUGAAGGUAGGCACAACAUACA
This is a long non-coding RNA of Ictalurus punctatus (channel catfish), 1048 nucleotides long. RefSeq lists it as uncharacterized. The record is from RefSeq and is a predicted model, not a curated record. The transcript has 7 exons. Lineage: Eukaryota; Metazoa; Chordata; Actinopteri; Siluriformes; Ictaluridae.